This 1409-nucleotide ribosomal RNA is filed under the name Lactiplantibacillus plantarum. RNAcentral's name for it is "bacterial SSU rRNA". It matches the Rfam family "Bacterial small subunit ribosomal RNA". The record is from RNAcentral. RNAcentral also lists the same sequence under 1 other name. Lineage: Bacteria; Bacillati; Bacillota; Bacilli; Lactobacillales; Lactobacillaceae.
CGAACUCUGGUAUUGAUUGGUGCUUGCAUCAUGAUUUACAUUUGAGUGAGUGGCGAACUGGUGAGUAACACGUGGGAAACCUGCCCAGAAGCGGGGGAUAACACCUGGAAACAGAUGCUAAUACCGCAUAACAACUUGGACCGCAUGGUCCGAGUUUGAAAGAUGGCUUCGGCUAUCACUUUUGGAUGGUCCCGCGGCGUAUUAGCUAGAUGGUGGGGUAACGGCUCACCAUGGCAAUGAUACGUAGCCGACCUGAGAGGGUAAUCGGCCACAUUGGGACUGAGACACGGCCCAAACUCCUACGGGAGGCAGCAGUAGGGAAUCUUCCACAAUGGACGAAAGUCUGAUGGAGCAACGCCGCGUGAGUGAAGAAGGGUUUCGGCUCGUAAAACUCUGUUGUUAAAGAAGAACAUAUCUGAGAGUAACUGUUCAGGUAUUGACGGUAUUUAACCAGAAAGCCACGGCUAACUACGUGCCAGCAGCCGCGGUAAUACGUAGGUGGCAAGCGUUGUCCGGAUUUAUUGGGCGUAAAGCGAGCGCAGGCGGUUUUUUAAGUCUGAUGUGAAAGCCUUCGGCUCAACCGAAGAAGUGCAUCGGAAACUGGGAAACUUGAGUGCAGAAGAGGACAGUGGAACUCCAUGUGUAGCGGUGAAAUGCGUAGAUAUAUGGAAGAACACCAGUGGCGAAGGCGGCUGUCUGGUCUGUAACUGACGCUGAGGCUCGAAAGUAUGGGUAGCAAACAGGAUUAGAUACCCUGGUAGUCCAUACCGUAAACGAUGAAUGCUAAGUGUUGGAGGGUUUCCGCCCUUCAGUGCUGCAGCUAACGCAUUAAGCAUUCCGCCUGGGGAGUACGGCCGCAAGGCUGAAACUCAAAGGAAUUGACGGGGGCCCGCACAAGCGGUGGAGCAUGUGGUUUAAUUCGAAGCUACGCGAAGAACCUUACCAGGUCUUGACAUACUAUGCAAAUCUAAGAGAUUAGACGUUCCCUUCGGGGACAUGGAUACAGGUGGUGCAUGGUUGUCGUCAGCUCGUGUCGUGAGAUGUUGGGUUAAGUCCCGCAACGAGCGCAACCCUUAUUAUCAGUUGCCAGCAUUAAGUUGGGCACUCUGGUGAGACUGCCGGUGACAAACCGGAGGAAGGUGGGGAUGACGUCAAAUCAUCAUGCCCCUUAUGACCUGGGCUACACACGUGCUACAAUGGAUGGUACAACGAGUUGCGAACUCGCGAGAGUAAGCUAAUCUCUUAAAGCCAUUCUCAGUUCGGAUUGUAGGCUGCAACUCGCCUACAUGAAGUCGGAAUCGCUAGUAAUCGCGGAUCAGCAUGCCGCGGUGAAUACGUUCCCGGGCCUUGUACACACCGCCCGUCACACCAUGAGAGUUUGUAACACCCAAAGUCGGUGGGGUAACCUU